GACGAGCGCUGGCGGCGUGCCUAAUACAUGCAAGUAGAACGCUGAAGGAGGAGCUUGCUUCUCUGGAUGAGUUGCGAACGGGUGAGUAACGCGUAGGUAACCUGCCUGGUAGCGGGGGAUAACUAUUGGAAACGAUAGCUAAUACCGCAUAAUAGUAGAUGUUGCAUGACAUUUACUUAAAAGGUGCAAUUGCAUCACUACCAGAUGGACCUGCGUUGUAUUAGCUAGUUGGUGGGGUAACGGCUCACCAAGGCGACGAUACAUAGCCGACCUGAGAGGGGGAUCGGCCACACUGGGACUGAGACACGGCCCAGACUCCUACGGGAGGCAGCAGUAGGGAAUCUUCGGCAAUGGACGAAAGUCUGACCGAGCAACGCCGCGUGAGUGAAGAAGGUUUUCGGAUCGUAAAGCUCUGUUGUAAGAGAAGAACGAGUGUGAGAGUGGAAAGUUCACACUGUGACGGUAUCUUACCAGAAAGGGACGGCUAACUACGUG
RNAcentral lists this ribosomal RNA (495 nucleotides) under uncultured bacterium. RNAcentral's name for it is "partial 16S ribosomal RNA". It matches the Rfam family "Bacterial small subunit ribosomal RNA", at positions 28 to 507 of the family's 1533-position model. The record is from RNAcentral.